AAGUCGUAACAAGGUUUCCGUAGGUGAACCUGCGGAAGGAUCAUUAAAUAAUGCAACGUACGUGGCUUAGUUGCCAAUUGUCCUGAUAAUGAUGCGGGGGAGGAGGAAGGUCCCAGCGGGCUAGGUCCUGUCACAUUUAAAGUGUUAGUGGUAACUACUGCUAGCUUUAUGAUGCUGAAGUUCCUACGCCCCCUGGGGCCCUAGACAUUGAAAUUGCCGGGACAAUUGGCCCACAUGCGUGGCCGGGGACGCUUGCGUCCUGUCUGAACCCUUUGUUUAUGCGUACCUCUUAUUGCUUCCUCGGUGGGUGUGCUCACCGGUGGAUAGCCUAUUUAAACUCCGUUGCAGUUGCGGUUAACUUCUGAUGUGGGCAUAAAUUUAGUAACAACUUUCAACAACGGAUCUCUUGGUUCUG
Molecule: unclassified non-coding RNA, 415 nt
Filed under: fungal sp.
Lineage: Eukaryota; Fungi
Description: partial internal transcribed spacer region
Rfam family: Eukaryotic small subunit ribosomal RNA (bases 1-46)
Source: RNAcentral